RNAcentral lists this ribosomal RNA (444 nucleotides) under uncultured bacterium. RNAcentral describes it as "bacterial SSU rRNA". It matches the Rfam family "Bacterial small subunit ribosomal RNA", at positions 338 to 795 of the family's 1533-position model. The record is from RNAcentral.
CCUACGGGUGGCUGCAGUCAAGAACCUUCCACAAUGGACGAAAGUCUGAUGGAGCGACGCCGCGUGAUCGAUGAAGCGAUUCGUCGUGUAAAGGUCUUUUAUGAGGGAAGAAGUAUAUUGACGGUACCUCAUGAAUAAGGGGCUCCUAACUCUGUGCCAGCAGGAGCGGUAAUACAGAGGCCCCGAGCGUUAUCCGGAAUCAUUGGGCGUAAAGGGUGCGUAGGUGGUUGUAUUAGUCUUUCGUUAAAUCCAUGGGCCUAACCUGUGGUCUGCGAAGGAAACGGUAUAACUAGAGAGCGAGAGAGGUGAAUGGAACUCAUAGUGUAGGGGUGAAAUCCGUUGAUAUUAUGGGGAACACCAAAAGCGAAGGCAAUUCACUGGCUCGUUUCUGACACUGAUGCACGAAAGCGUGGGUAGCGAAUGGGAUUAGAUACCCGUGUAGUC